Molecule: ribosomal RNA, 376 nt
Filed under: uncultured bacterium
Lineage: Bacteria
Description: bacterial SSU rRNA
Rfam family: Bacterial small subunit ribosomal RNA
Source: RNAcentral
UACGUAGGUGGCAAGCGUUGUCCGGAUUUACUGGGCGUAAAGGGAGCGUAGGCGGAUACUUAAGUGGGAUGUGAAAUACCUGGGCUUAACUUGGGUGCUGCAUUCCAAACUGGGUGUCUAGAGUGUUGGAGAGGAAAGUGGAAUUCCUAGUGUAGCGGUGAAAUGCGUAGAGAUUAGGAAGAACACCAGUGGCGAAGGCGACUUUCUGGACAAUAACUGACGCUGAGGCUCGAAAGCGUGGGGAGCAAACAGGAUUAGAUACCCUGGUAGUCCACGCCGUAAACGAUUGAUACUAGGUUGAGGAGGGAUCGACUCCUCCUGUGCCGCCGUUAACACAAUAAGUACCCCGCCUGGGGAGUACGGUCGCAAGAUUAAA